AGAGGAUGUUUCGGGCGCGGCGUCGGUCUAAGUCUCUUGGAACGGGGCGUCAUAGAGGGUGAGAAUCCCGUAUGUGACCGAUGACCGAGCCCAUGUGAAACCCCUUCGACGAGUCGAGUUGUUUGGGAAUGCAGCUCAAAAUGGGUGGUAAAUUUCAUCUAAAGCUAAAUACUGGCCAGAGACCGAUAGCGCACAAGUAGAGUGAUCGAAAGAUGAAAAGCACUUUGGAAAGAGAGUCAAAAAGUACGUGAAAUUGUUGAAAGGGAAGCGCUUGCAACCAGACCUGCCCGCGGGCGAUCAGCCGUCCUUCUGGGCGGUGUACUCGCCCGCGAUCAGGCCAGCAUCGGUUCGGGCGGCCGGAUAAAGGCCCUGGGAAUGUAGCUCCCUUCGGGGAGUGUUAUAGCCCUCGGUGUCAUGCGGCCAGCCUGGACCGAGGACCGCGCUUCGGCUAGGAUGCUGGCGUAAUGGUUGUAAGCGGCCCGUCUUGAAACACGGACCAAGGAGUCUAACAUCUAUGCGAGUGUUUGGGUGUCAAACCCAUACGCGUAAUGAAAGUGAACGGAGGUGGGAACCCGUUAGGGCGCACCAUCGACCGAUCCAGAUGUCUUCGGAUGGAUUUGAGUACGAGCAUAGCUGUUGGGACCCGAAAGAUGGUGAACUAUGCCUGAAUAGGGUGAAGCCAGAGGAAACUCUGGUGGAGGCUCGCAGCGGUUCUGACGUGCAAAUCGAUCGUCAAAUUUGGGUAUAGGGGCGAAAGACUAAUCGAACCAUCUAGU
This 776-nucleotide ribosomal RNA is filed under the name Villophora darwiniana. RNAcentral describes it as "Villophora sp. UA-2020a partial large subunit ribosomal RNA". It matches the Rfam family "Eukaryotic large subunit ribosomal RNA", at positions 151 to 948 of the family's 3401-position model. The record is from RNAcentral. Lineage: Eukaryota; Fungi; Ascomycota; Lecanoromycetes; Teloschistales; Teloschistaceae.